Lutra lutra (Eurasian river otter) is the source of this 92-nucleotide long non-coding RNA. RefSeq lists it as uncharacterized. The record is from RefSeq and is a predicted model, not a curated record. The transcript is spliced from 3 exons. Lineage: Eukaryota; Metazoa; Chordata; Mammalia; Carnivora; Mustelidae.
AAAAAUAAAAUCUUAAGACAACUCUCUAGGGUCCUCUUCCUCUUCAAGAGCUUUGUACUAUUGCUCAAUAAAUUUUGCUUUGCUGCCCACCA